AUUAAUGUAGUUUAAAAAAAACCUUGUUUUUUCAAAACAAAAAUAGAUAAUAAUCUUAUUAAUA
Molecule: transfer RNA, 64 nt
Filed under: Anthrenus verbasci (variegated carpet beetle)
Lineage: Eukaryota; Metazoa; Arthropoda; Insecta; Coleoptera; Dermestidae
Description: tRNA-Glu
Source: RNAcentral